AUGGGGAAGAGCACUUGCUGAGCUCACAGAGGACCCGAGUUCGGUUCCCAGAAUCCAUGUUGGAGUUCAUAGCAACCUGUAACCCCACUUCCAGGGGCUCCGUCGACUUGGCCUCAGUAGGCAUCAAAUUCAAGAGGGCGCGCGCGCACGAGCACACACACACACACACACACACACACACACACACACACACACACACACACAGACCUGCUUCUUUCCCUAUGGGGGGAUCCCAUGGCCUGUCUCUCUAUAGGCAAGUUCUCAGAUGCAAGUACCAACCACGGGCAAAAUUUGGAUCCAGUGCCAUUGUUUUCUUCCCUUGACAAGAACCCAAAGGUCACCAAAAGUUGGCAUCAGAUCACCUGUACCCAAGAGAAACCAGCCCUCCCCAUUCCGGCGUCCCUGCCCUGUCCUCAGAGUCACGACAUGGCCGCAACAGUCUGAUCUCACAGUCAUGAAACAGGCACUGUGCAACCGCUGUGGUUAGAAAAAAAGAGAGAGGGGCUGGAGAGAUGGCUCAGUGGUUAAGAGCACUGACUGCUCUUCCCAGAGGUCCUGAGUUCAAAUCCCAGCAACCACAUGGUGGCUCACAACCAUCUGUAAUGGGAUCCAGUGCCCUCUUCUGGUGUGUCUGAAGACAGCUACAGUGUACUCAUAUAAAUGAUAAAUAAAUAAAUCUUAAAAAAAAAAAAGAAAGAAAGAAAAAGAGAGAGAGAGAGAAAAGAAGAGAGAGAGAAAAAAGAAGAGAGAGAAAGAGAGAGAGAGAGAGAGAGAGAGAGAGAGAGAAAGGCAUCAUCAACUCUCAGGCCCACAGCCACCUAGGAGCCAGAUGGAGUCCAGAUAUCUCUGCCUUCUUUUGGAGUCUGUACUUUGGCUGAAGGCUCAGAGGUAAGUUAUUGUUCUAACACAGCAGGCCCUUGGAUUCCAGGAAGAACAGAACCUAGAAGGACAAUUCACUCCCCCAUAAAUGAGGAUAAUUACCCCAGAGGGUGAGGCCAUGUCCUGCACAAACUGCCCGAUUUAUCCCCUCUAGCGCAUGACAGGGAGAAGGACUGCUGGGGACCAGCACUCAGAUAUGGAUAGAAAUCAAGGAUAGCAACCCCCACAACCCCAGGAAGGCUUCGCUACGUGUACCCUCGCUCCAUCUUGCAUUUAAGCCUAAAGAUCAUCCAGUUCCCAGAGGAUGGACUCAGGGUCCCUGAAUCUCUUUGUCUUUAUAUGGUUUGGUUGCACUGAGUAAAUCCCUCUCUGCCUCUCACCAAGACUUGUUUCUCCUGUUGGUGUAUUAGUGGCCAACCCUUGCCUGUUGGGGUUGCUGGGACCCAGGCUUGUACCCUAAAGAUACCCCUAGCACCCUCUCAAUGUCUAAAGCAGUAGGAAGAAUUCUGUAUUGAAUACCCGUCUUCUCCGUGGGGAGAGGAGAACCCUUCAGAAAGUCUUCUUUUUAAGGUGCAUUUACUUUUUGUAUAUGAGCGUUCUGUCUGCGUGCCUGAAAGGGCCCCGUGAGCACUCCUGAUGUCCACAGAGUUUCAAAGAGGACACAGGAUCCCCUGGAACUGGGAUUAUCAAUGGCGUGGGUGCUGGAAGUCGCGAGUUCAAUUCCUAGCAACUACAUGGUGGCUCACAACCAUCUAUAAUGGGAUCUGAUGCUUUCUUCUGGUGUGUCUGAAGACAGUUAUAGUGCACUCACAUACAUAAAAAAAUCUUUAAAAAAAAGAAAGAAAGAAAGAAAGAAAGAAAGAAAAAGGAAAGAGUGCUCCAAACCUCCAGGUCAUCUUUCCUGCCCUCAAAGUUUCCCCCUCUUCCAUUUUUGUGGUCACAGCUGGGUGACAUAGCUGCUUCUGGAAUGAUCUCUGGUUCUGGGGUCCACAACUGGUGAUGGGUUCUUACCAAGAGAAGUGGCUGGCGUGUGGGGAGGUGAGUGGGAAUGCUAGCCACAGUCCCAUUUCAUGAGUACUUCCCUGGUGAAGAGGAGUCAUUUUAGGCCACUCCCAAGUCCCCGGACCCUCUGCCACACAGCCUGCUCGCUCACAUUCCAGGCCUGAAAUGACCAGUUUGAUGCCAGGGCGAUCGAGGGGGUGCUCAAGCUAACGACGAGGAAAGCAGAGAAAUCCGAAGACGCUUCAGUCUCUGCACGAACUGCGGCCUCUCCCAGAAGAAUCCUGACACAGAGUUCUUCCUCAGCUUUCUCUGGGCUUAUGAGUAGCUGAACACUGGUCCUGAGGAGAUGACUCACUGGGGACAGGUGUUUGUCACCGAGCCUGACCAAGCCGCAACAUCUGAGUUUGAUCACCAGAGCCCAGAAGACGAAUCGAAGACCAACUUCCUCUGCUUUCCAUAUGCAUGAUAUGGCGUUUCUGCAACCAUAUACAAAAUGCAUAAACAUACAAAAAAAGUAGUUAUUGGUUAACGGGCAGUAAGUUCUGAACCAUCUUAUCGUCCUGGGGUUUGUUUCCGUAAGACUCAUUUAUUUAGUUGUGUGCAUAGGCGUGCCUGAGAGUGUGCAUGCCUUUCCGCUUGCUGCCUGUGUGCAGGUGCCCACGGAGGGAGACAAGCUCAGGUCCCCUUGAGCUGGAGUCAGAAGUGGUUGGAAGCCAGCGUAUGGUGCUGAGAACCAAACCCAAGAGAGCAGUGAGCACUCCUAACCCCUGAGCCACCUCUGCAAGGACAACUGCUCCUUCUCUUCUUUAUGCAGAGAGGGAAGAGAAAUGGACAGAAUGUACUCUGGUCUCAUCCCUUGCUUCCAAAGCGGGUCAGUUUCUCAUAGCCUCUACCACCCACCAACCACAGUGGGAGAAACGACCCCUCCAGCGGAGAAGGGGACUGCGGGAGGGAGUGUCUAGUUCUUAGUUCUUUGCAUCUUUUUGGCUGUUACAUUUUUUUUUUUUUUUAAAGACAAGGUCAUGUAACCCAGGAUAGCCCAGAACUCAAGAUCCUCUUACCUCUCAGGCGUCUAAGGACUAGAAUUCCUGGCAUGCACCUAGCUGGAUCUCAAUACCUUGGAGAAAGUUUUCCCUCUGGCUACUUCCUUCUACUUAAUUGAAGAAGAGAUUUUGAUAACAGACGGAGACGGAGGGUGGGAUUGAAGAUGGCAUUUGCUAUAAAGCCAAGCAUCACGCCAAGCACUUUUCUU
Molecule: non-coding RNA, 3133 nt
Organism: Rattus norvegicus (Norway rat)
Lineage: Eukaryota; Metazoa; Chordata; Mammalia; Rodentia; Muridae
Source: RefSeq, a predicted model, not a curated record